Molecule: ribosomal RNA, 301 nt
Filed under: uncultured bacterium
Lineage: Bacteria
Description: partial 16S ribosomal RNA
Rfam family: Bacterial small subunit ribosomal RNA
Source: RNAcentral
CAGCCGCCGCGGUAAUACGUAGGGUGCAGGCGUUAAUCGGAAUUACUGGGCGUAAAGCGUGCGCAGGCGGUCCGCUAAGACAGAUGUGAAAUCCCCGGGCUUAACCUGGGAACUGCAUUUGUGACUGGCGGGCUAGAGUAUGGCAGAGGGGGGUAGAAUUCCACGUGUAGCAGUGAAAUGCGUAGAGAUGUGGAGGAAUACCGAUGGCGUAGGCAGCCCCCUGGGCCAAUACUGACGCUCAUGCACGAAAGCGUGGGGAGCAAACAGGAUUAGAUACCCCUGUAGUCCCUGUCUCUUAUAC